Molecule: non-coding RNA, 23 nt
Filed under: Arabidopsis thaliana (thale cress)
Lineage: Eukaryota; Viridiplantae; Streptophyta; Magnoliopsida; Brassicales; Brassicaceae
Source: RNAcentral
GUAAAGCAAAAGAAGGCCACGCU